UGCUGCAGGCCCUCAGUGAUGGAGGUGACAGGUGACAUCCCACAGGUGAGCGCUGACAGCAUGUAUCCAUCAGGACCAAAUGAGCUGGUGAAAUUUCCUUGCUGUGAACGGACAGGGACAAGAGAAGAAACGUUACAGGGAACUGUUGAGGCGAGACUGUUAGAAUACGAGCUUCCACAGGAUGCUGGAUCUGCUGAAGUUGUGUGAGUAUGGAAAAGAGCAGCCAGGAGGACACUCUUCAAAAAUUCACCUUUUCUCUUCCACAAAGGAAAAAAAAAAGUCACCUGGGCUCGGAACCAUGUCGGCAGUGUGAAUUAAUUUUCAUUUUUGGCUGAACUUUUUCUUUAAGCUGUCACUCGAUUAAGGAGUUAGUUACAUUUGUUUUAUUGCCGUG
Molecule: long non-coding RNA, 394 nt
Organism: Myxocyprinus asiaticus (Chinese sucker)
Lineage: Eukaryota; Metazoa; Chordata; Actinopteri; Cypriniformes; Catostomidae
Exons: 3
Source: RefSeq, a predicted model, not a curated record